Spea bombifrons (plains spadefoot toad) is the source of this 325-nucleotide long non-coding RNA. RefSeq lists it as uncharacterized. Lineage: Eukaryota; Metazoa; Chordata; Amphibia; Anura; Pelobatidae. The transcript has 3 exons. The record is from RefSeq and is a predicted model, not a curated record.
CCGCCAUGUUGUCCUUAAUAAGCAGGUGUAUGAUCAAGCAACCCUGCUGAAGGCCAUUAAUAGCUCCCCAGGCUGUGCGAGGAAGGGUACAGCUUGCUCAUCACCCGCACCCUGCGACUCUCCUUGCGUCAGUUAUCCCCGGACCCCCAGCUGUGAUUGCCCACCUGCUCACCAGGACUGCGGAAAAGAUGUCCACAAACACUUCAUCCAUCCUAGAGGCCACAUCCGGUACCUGCUCCCUCAUUCUCUCCAUCCGCAGCAGACAUUUUCAGGCAACGCCGACAGCGGCAUCCUGCGUUUGUCUUCUAAGGACCGGAGCGAAUCC